This 473-nucleotide ribosomal RNA is filed under the name uncultured bacterium. RNAcentral's name for it is "bacterial SSU rRNA". It matches the Rfam family "Bacterial small subunit ribosomal RNA", at positions 28 to 507 of the family's 1533-position model. The record is from RNAcentral.
GACGAACGCUGGCGGCGUGCCUAACACAUGCAAGUCGAACGGAGAUGAUGGGAUAGCUUGCUAUUUAAUCAUCUUAGUGGCGGACGGGUGAGUAACACGUGGGCAACCUGCCCCAAAGAGGGGGAUAACACCGAGAAAUCGGUGCUAAUACCGCAUAAUAUUAGAGCUUCGCAUGGAGCUUUAAUCAAAGGAGCAAUCCGCUUUGGGAUGGGCCCGCGUCUGAUUAGCUAGUUGGUGAGGUAACGGCUCACCAAGGCGACGAUCAGUAGCCGAUCUGAGAGGAUGACCGGCCACACUGGAACUGAGACACGGUCCAGACUCCUACGGGAGGCAGCAGUGGGGAAUAUUGCACAAUGGGGGAAACCCUGAUGCAGCAACGCCGCGUGGAGGAAGAAGGUCUUCGGAUUGUAAACUCCUGUCUUCUGGGACGAAUAAUGACGGUACCAGAGGAGGAAGCCACGGCUAACUACGUG